Molecule: ribosomal RNA, 486 nt
Filed under: uncultured bacterium
Lineage: Bacteria
Description: partial 16S ribosomal RNA
Rfam family: Bacterial small subunit ribosomal RNA
Source: RNAcentral
AUUGAACGCUGGCGGCAUGCCUUACACAUGCAAGUCGAACGGCAGCACGGGUGCUUGCACCUGUUGGCGAGUGGCGAACGGGUGAGUAAUACAUCGGAACAUGUCCUGUAGUGGGGGAUAGCCCGGCGAAAGCCGGAUUAAUACUGCAUACGAUCCACGGAUGAAAGCGGGGGGCCUUCGGGCCUCGCGCUAUAGGGUUGGCCGAUGGCUGAUUAGCUAGUUGGUGGAGUAAAGGCCUACCAAGGCGACGAUCAGUAGCUGGUCUGAGAGGACGACCAGCCACACUGGGACUGAGACACGGCACAGACUCCUACGGGAGGCAGCAGUGGGGAAUUUUGGACAAUGGGCGAAAGCCUGAUCCAGCAAUGCCGCGUGUGUGAAGAAGGCCUUCGGGUUGUAAAGCACUUUUGUCCGGAAAGAAAGCCUUGGCUCUAAUACAGUCAGGGGAUGACGGUACCGGAAGAAUAAGCACCGGCUAACUACGUG